Molecule: long non-coding RNA, 293 nt
Filed under: Astyanax mexicanus (Mexican tetra)
Lineage: Eukaryota; Metazoa; Chordata; Actinopteri; Characiformes; Acestrorhamphidae
Description: lncRNA (ENSAMXG00005018401.1)
Source: RNAcentral
AAUAUCUCCCUGCUCGCAAUGGGCCUUUCUCACCUGAGGGAUAUGUCGUCUUGUUUUUGCAUCAUUAGAUCUGACCAGAACAGCACAGCACCAUAUUCCCCUCUGAGAGGCCGUCACACACCCAUCAGCCUCCCGGGGAGAGGGGGCAGACCCAGCAACAGGGCGCUCAUCUCAGCUCCGGAGUCCUGUGGUACAGGAGAAGGUGUGGAGUGCUGAUCCUUACAGUCUGCAGGUGACAAGACCACCAUUACCCAUCCUCUGUAAGCCUGGCACAUGUAGAAAGCCAUAUUUAU